UACGGGGGGGGGCAAGCGUUGUUCGGAAUUACUGGGCGUAAAGGGCUCGUAGGCGGCCAACUAAGUCAGACGUGAAAUCCCUCGGCUUAACCGGGGAACUGCGUCUGAUACUGGUUGGCUUGAAUCCGGGAGAGGGAUGUGGAAUUCCAGGUGUAGCGGUGAAAUGCGUAGAUAUCUGGAGGAACACCGGUGGCGAAGGCGGCAUCCUGGACCGGUAUUGACGCUGAGGCGCGAAAGCGUGGGGAGCGAACAGG
This 254-nucleotide ribosomal RNA is filed under the name uncultured bacterium. RNAcentral's name for it is "partial 16S ribosomal RNA". It matches the Rfam family "Bacterial small subunit ribosomal RNA", at positions 524 to 776 of the family's 1533-position model. The record is from RNAcentral.